This 133-nucleotide small nucleolar RNA is filed under the name Carlito syrichta (Philippine tarsier). Its description in RNAcentral is "Small nucleolar RNA SNORA68 (ENSTSYG00000019994.2)". It matches the Rfam family "Small nucleolar RNA SNORA68". From Rfam's summary of the family: U68 is a member of the H/ACA class of small nucleolar RNAs (snoRNAs) which act as guides in the the modification of uridines to pseudouridines. The record is from Rfam by way of RNAcentral. Lineage: Eukaryota; Metazoa; Chordata; Mammalia; Primates; Tarsiidae.
CUGACAUCACAACCCAAGAACUGCUGUUUCCUGUAACACUGGUUUAAACAGGGGUGCGCACAGCAAGUGGAUCUCGUCGCCUUUGGGGGGCUGUGGCUGUGCCCCUCAAAGUGAAUUUGGAGGUUCCACAUUC